Molecule: ribosomal RNA, 301 nt
Filed under: uncultured bacterium
Lineage: Bacteria
Description: partial 16S ribosomal RNA
Rfam family: Bacterial small subunit ribosomal RNA
Source: RNAcentral
CAGUAGCCGCGGGAAUACGAAGGGGGCUAGCGUUGUUCAGAAUUACUGGGCGUAAAGCGCACGUAGGCGGAUAUUUAAGUCAGGGGUGAAAUCCCAGAGCUCAACUCUGGAACUGCCUUUGAUACUGGGUAUCUUGAGUAUGGAAGAGGUGAGUGGAAUUCCGAGUGUAGAGGUGAAAUUCGUAGAUAUUCGGAGGAACACCAGUGGCGAAGGCGGCUCACUGGUCCAUUACUGACGCUGAGGUGCGAAAGCGUGGGGAGCAAACAGGAUUAGAUACCCCAGUAGUCCCUGUCUCUUAUAC